CCCUGGCUGGCUCAGUUGGUACAGCACAUGACUCUUGAUCUUGGGGUCAUGAAUUUAAGCCCCAUGUCAGGGG
Molecule: transfer RNA, 73 nt
Filed under: Canis lupus familiaris (dog)
Lineage: Eukaryota; Metazoa; Chordata; Mammalia; Carnivora; Canidae
Also listed under: 3 other names
Rfam family: tRNA
About the family: Transfer RNA (tRNA) molecules are approximately 80 nucleotides in length.
Source: Rfam by way of RNAcentral